AGGUCUUAUUUACAAAAGGAAUACAGAUCACCUUUUACAUACAAACUAAAUGUUUCGCGGAAUGUGAUCCACAGAAAUGUGCGUGUUUAACAAAAUUGUGCACUGACCGUACUUUUUAUAUAUCUUUUUUUCAAAUAGAUUUGUGUCUUUGUACAAUAGUUGAUAAUUCGGUUAGAUUUAAAAUAUACAAUCGGUUAUAUUUACUUUUUAU
This 211-nucleotide long non-coding RNA is filed under the name Mytilus galloprovincialis (Mediterranean mussel). Lineage: Eukaryota; Metazoa; Mollusca; Bivalvia; Mytilida; Mytilidae. The record is from RNAcentral.